CGCGCAGGCGGCCUUGGAAGUUGGGCGUGAAAGCCCCGGGCUCAACCCGGGAAUAGCGCUCGAUACUCUGAGGCUAGAGUUCGGGAGAGGAGGGUGGAAUUCCCAGUGUAGAGGUGAAAUUCGUAGAUAUUGGGAAGAACACCGGUGGCGAAGGCGGCUCUCUGGACCGAUACUGACGCUGAGGCGCGAAAGCGUGGGGAGCAAACAGGAUUAGAUACCCUGGUAGUCCACGCCGUAAACGAUGUGUGCUAGACGUUGGGGGACGUAGUCCUUCGGUGUCGCAGCUAACGCGAUAAGCACACCGCCUGGGGAGUACGGCCGCAAGGUUAAA
RNAcentral lists this ribosomal RNA (331 nucleotides) under uncultured bacterium. RNAcentral's name for it is "bacterial SSU rRNA". It matches the Rfam family "Bacterial small subunit ribosomal RNA", at positions 568 to 898 of the family's 1533-position model. The record is from RNAcentral.